AGUCUUAGUGGCGCAGCUAACGCACUAAGUUGACCGCCUGGGGAGUACGGCCGCAAGGUUAAAACUCAAAUGAAUUGACGGGGGCCCGCACAAGCGGUGGAGCAUGUGGUUUAAUUCGACGCAACGCGAAGAACCUUACCUGGCCCUUGACAUGCAGAGAACUUUCCAGAGAUGGAUUGGUGCCUUCGGGAACUCUGACACAGGUGCUGCAUGGCCGUCGUCAGCUCGUGUCGUGAGAUGUUGGGUUAAGUCCCGUAACGAGCGCAACCCCUAUCCCUAGUUGCUAGCAGUUCGGCUGAGAACUCUAGGGAGACUGCCGGUGACAAACCGGAGGAAGGUGGGGAUGACGUCAGGUCAUCAUGGCCCUUACGGCCAGGGCUACACACGUGCUACAAUGGUGCGUACAGAGGGCUGCAAACCCGCGAGGGGGAGCUAAUCUCACAAAACGCAUCGUAGUCCGGAUCGGAGUCUGCAACUCGACUCCGUGAAGUCGGAAUCGCUAGUAAUCGCGAAUCAGAAUGUCGCGGUGAAUACGUUCCCGGGCCUUGUACACACCGCCCGUCACACCAUGGGAGUGGAUUGCACCAGAAGUGGUUAGUCUAACGUCGGAGGACG
Molecule: ribosomal RNA, 615 nt
Filed under: Marinobacter algicola
Lineage: Bacteria; Pseudomonadati; Pseudomonadota; Gammaproteobacteria; Pseudomonadales; Marinobacteraceae
Description: bacterial SSU rRNA
Rfam family: Bacterial small subunit ribosomal RNA
Source: RNAcentral